GGUAAGUCUGGGCCAGAAGCCGGUGUAAGACAGAGUGUGGAAGAGUUAAUCGGAAUUACUGGGCGGAAAGCGCUCGUAGGCGGGUGGUUAAGUCGAUCGUGAAAGCCCUGGGCUUAACCUGGGAAUUGCGGUCGAUACUGAAUACCUAGAGUAUGGUAGAGGAUAGUGGAAUUCCCGGUGUAGCAGUGAAAUGCGUAGAUAUCGGGAGGAACACCAGUGGCGAAGGCGACUAUCUGGACCAAUACUGACGCUGAGGAGCGAAAGCGUGGGGAGCAAACAGGAUUAGAUACCCGUGUAGUC
Molecule: ribosomal RNA, 300 nt
Filed under: uncultured Lactobacillus sp.
Lineage: Bacteria; Bacillati; Bacillota; Bacilli; Lactobacillales; Lactobacillaceae
Description: bacterial SSU rRNA
Rfam family: Bacterial small subunit ribosomal RNA
Source: RNAcentral